Molecule: ribosomal RNA, 497 nt
Filed under: uncultured bacterium
Lineage: Bacteria
Description: partial 16S ribosomal RNA
Rfam family: Bacterial small subunit ribosomal RNA
Source: RNAcentral
GACGAACGCUGGCGGCGUGCCUAAUACAUGCAAGUAGAACGCUGAAGAGAGGAGCUUGCUCUUCUUGGAUGAGUUGCGAACGGGUGAGUAACGCGUAGGUAACCUGCCUUGUAGCGGGGGAUAACUAUUGGAAACGAUAGCUAAUACCGCAUAACAAUGGAUGGCACAUGUCAUUUAUUUGAAAGGGGCAAUUGCUCCACUACAAGAUGGACCUGCGUUGUAUUAGCUAGUAGGUGAGGUAAUGGCUCACCUAGGCGACGAUACAUAGCCGACCUGAGAGGGUGCUCGGCCACACUGGGACUGAGACCCGGCCCAGACUCCUACGGGAGGCAGCAGUAGGGAAUCUUCGGCAAUGGGGGCAACCCUGACCGAGCAACGCCGCGUGAGUGAAGAAGGUUUUCGGAUCGUAAAGCUCGGUUGUAAGUCAAGAACGGGUGUGAGAGUGGAAAGUUCACACUGUGACGGUAGCUUACCAGAAAGGGACGGCUAACUACGUG